CCAAAAUGAUGUAAAAAAUUUGCCCCGAAUUACCAUGUGGAUUCAAAAUAUCGAGCUUUUUAACACUGAUUGGU
Molecule: small nucleolar RNA, 74 nt
Organism: Vanessa tameamea
Lineage: Eukaryota; Metazoa; Arthropoda; Insecta; Lepidoptera; Nymphalidae
Source: RefSeq, a predicted model, not a curated record